ACGAACGCUGGCGGCGUGCUUAACACAUGCAAGUCGAACGGAAAGGCCCUGCUUGCAGGGUACUCGAGUGGCGAACGGGUGAGUAACACGUGGGUGAUCUGCCCUGCACUUCGGGAUAAGCUUGGGAAACUGGGUCUAAUACCGGAUAGGAACCAUCUUUAGUGUGGUGGUUGGAAAGUUUUUUCGGUGUAGGAUGAGCUCGCGGCCUAUCAGCUUGUUGGUGGGGUAAUGGCCUACCAAGGCGGCGACGGGUAGCCGGCCUGAGAGGGUGUACGGCCACAUUGGGACUGAGAUACGGCCCAGACUCCCACGGGGGGCAGCAGGGGGGAAUAUUGCACAAUGGGCGCAAGCCUGAUGCAGCGACGCCGCGUGGGGGAUGAAGGCCUUCGGGUUGUAAACUCCUUUCGCUAGGGACGAAGCGUUGUUGUGACGGUACCUAGAUAAGAAGCACCGGCUAACUACGUG
Molecule: ribosomal RNA, 465 nt
Filed under: uncultured bacterium
Lineage: Bacteria
Description: partial 16S ribosomal RNA
Rfam family: Bacterial small subunit ribosomal RNA
Source: RNAcentral